CUGAAGUUCCGCUGUGGGAGCCUCGGGUAGGGACGGAGAGAGGACACGACCCACCGGUUUUCUCCGUCAGAGUUGGUUCCUGGCCUCACCCCGGCCCCUUCUGGGCGGCUGCUGCUGACUGCUCUCCUUUCCCUCCCCCAGAAGCUGGGUUCCGAGUUAGAAACCGCAUUCCCACCCACUGAAUCGAGACUCUCCGAGAAGGAAUGGAUAACAAGGGGACAGCUACGGAAUCCGAAAGCAAGCUCCGCUCUUAACAUCUGUUUGUUCUUGUACUGGUUUGGCUUUUGUUCUGUUGUUGUUGUUGUUGUUGUUCCCCUAAGGACCAAGCACGGUGUUUUUGAAUGGACGUUUCUGGAUUUUGAUAGAUCCGAGAGGCUGCCCGGGUAAGGGGCGGUGGAAUGAGCCAUGUCGUAAAUCCUCCCUAGCACCUGGCCCUAAACUAAAGCAGCCUUGCAGUUAGUCCCGGGGUGGGGUGGGGGUGAGGGCGACAAUAGGAUUACCCUCCUAAAUUAAACCUUUAAAUCCUACCUAGUUCCUUCACUAAUCUGCUAAACUCAGACUCCACCCUUCCUUCGAAGGACUACAAAUGUAAGGAAUCCCCUUGGUUGUGUGACUUGCUCUUGGAUUCCCCACCAUAUUCCAGCCCUCACCCCAAAGCCCACCAGUGUUAUUAAAGGAUCUGGUCUCCUGAAAUACGUCCCAGCAGCCGUCUAUAGCGAACCAGUGAAGAAACCGAGGCUGAGCAAAGGUUAAUUGUUGAGAAAUCACACAGGCAGUGAAUGGUAGAAUGGACUGAGACUGGAGCCCCAGUGUUGACUCAGCCAUUGACAUGCAAGCCUGCUUAUACUGUCUCACUUUUACAAAUCAUGAAUAAAAAUAAGAAAUGAAUAUUUCAGGCAGGCACUGGAAUUCACAACUUAGAAGACAAACGUCUUCUCUUAUGAUGAUCCACAUAAUAAAAAAGACUCAAGAAGAAGAUCCACUGUCACUCUUACUGGCAAGCCCCAUGCCCAGAAGGAGACCAGGAGCGCAAGACCAGCUCGAUGACAUUUUCGUUUUAUCCCAUUCCAAUUCGUGUCCAUUGACUCAUUUCCCUACUAUUUCUUAGAUGCUUGUUUUCUAUGAGAGAAGGGUGUGAUUAGGGUGGGAGGGGAGAGGGGAAGAGGUGGGGGAGGGGAAACUGUCAUCAGAAUGUACUGUAUCGAAAAGAAAACCAACAACCUAUUUUC
Molecule: long non-coding RNA, 1229 nt
Filed under: Mus spretus (western wild mouse)
Lineage: Eukaryota; Metazoa; Chordata; Mammalia; Rodentia; Muridae
Description: lncRNA (ENSMSPG00010025439.1)
Source: RNAcentral